This 468-nucleotide ribosomal RNA is filed under the name uncultured bacterium. RNAcentral's name for it is "partial 16S ribosomal RNA". It matches the Rfam family "Bacterial small subunit ribosomal RNA", at positions 28 to 507 of the family's 1533-position model. The record is from RNAcentral.
GACGAACGCUGGCGGCGUGCUUAACACAUGCAAGUCGAACGGAAAGGCCCUGCUUUUGUGGGGUGCUCGAGUGGCGAACGGGUGAGUAACACGUGAGUAACCUGCCCUUGACUUUGGGAUAACUUCAGGAAACUGGGGCUAAUACCGGAUAGGAGCUCCUGCUGCAUGGGGGGGGUUGGAAAGUUUCGGCGGUUGGGGAUGGACUCGCGGCUUAUCAGCUUGUUGGUGGGGUAGUGGCUUACCAAGGCUUUGACGGGUAGCCGGCCUGAGAGGGUGAACGGCCACAUUGGGACUGAGAUACGGCCCAGACUCCUACGGGAGGCAGCAGUGGGGAAUAUUGCACAAUGGGCGGAAGCCUGAUGCAGCAACGCCGCGUGGGGGAUGACGGCCUUCGGGUUGUAAACCGCUUUCGCCUGUGACGAAGCGUGAGUGACGGUAAUGGGUAAAGAAGCACCGGCUAACUACGUG